This 66-nucleotide transfer RNA is filed under the name Pangio oblonga (Java loach). Its description in RNAcentral is "tRNA-Cys". It matches the Rfam family "tRNA". From Rfam's summary of the family: Transfer RNA (tRNA) molecules are approximately 80 nucleotides in length. Their secondary structure includes four short double-helical elements and three loops (D, anti-codon, and T loops). Further hydrogen bonds mediate the characteristic L-shaped molecular structure. tRNAs have two regions of fundamental functional importance: the anti-codon, which is responsible for specific mRNA codon recognition, and the 3' end, to which the tRNAs corresponding amino acid is attached (by aminoacyl-tRNA synthetases). tRNAs cope with the degeneracy of the genetic code in two manners: having more than one tRNA (with a specific anti-codon) for a particular amino acid; and 'wobble' base-pairing, i.e. permitting non-standard base-pairing at the 3rd anti-codon position. The record is from RNAcentral. RNAcentral also lists the same sequence under 1 other name. Lineage: Eukaryota; Metazoa; Chordata; Actinopteri; Cypriniformes; Cobitidae.
AGCUCCGUGGUGUAUAACAUAUUAGAUUGCAAAUCUAAAGUCGUAGAUUAACGUCUGCCGGGGCUU